GACGAACGCUGGCGGCGUGCCUAACACAUGCAAGUCGAGCGGAGUCAGUAAGAGGAAGUUUUCGGAUGGAAUCUUGCUGGUUUAGCGGCGGACGGGUGAGUAACGCGUGAGCGACCAACCUUGCCCAGGGGGAUAACGGACCGAAAGGUUCACUAAUACCGCAUGAGACCACGGUGCUGCAUGAUACAGGGGUCAAAGGAGCAAUCCGGUGCAAGACGGGCUCGCGUCCGAUUAGGUAGUUGGAGGGGUAACGGCCCACCAAGCCUAUGAUCGGUAGCCGACCUGAGAGGGUGAUCGGCCACAUUGGAACUGAGAUACGGUCCAAACUCCUACGGGAGGCAGCAGUGGGGAAUAUUGGGCAAUGGGGGAAACCCUGACCCAGCAACGCCGCGUGAAGGAAGAAGGUUCUCGGAUUGUAAACUUCUGUCCUUGGUGAAGAGAAGAAGACGGUAGCCAAGGAGGAAGCCCCGGCUAACUACGUGCCAGCCGCCGCGGUAA
RNAcentral lists this ribosomal RNA (498 nucleotides) under uncultured bacterium. RNAcentral's name for it is "partial 16S ribosomal RNA". It matches the Rfam family "Bacterial small subunit ribosomal RNA", at positions 28 to 523 of the family's 1533-position model. The record is from RNAcentral.